This 1155-nucleotide ribosomal RNA is filed under the name Salmonella enterica. Its description in RNAcentral is "bacterial LSU rRNA". It matches the Rfam family "Bacterial large subunit ribosomal RNA", at positions 1 to 1187 of the family's 2925-position model. Lineage: Bacteria; Pseudomonadati; Pseudomonadota; Gammaproteobacteria; Enterobacterales; Enterobacteriaceae. The record is from RNAcentral.
GGGUUGUGAGGUUAAGCGACUAAGCGUACACGGUGGAUGCCCUGGCAGUCAGAGGCGAUGAAGGGCGUGCUAAUCUGCGAUAAGCGCCGGUAAGGUGAUAUGAACCGUUAUAACCGGCGAUACCCGAAUGGGGAAACCCAGUGUGAUUCGUCACACUAUCAUUAACUGAAUCCAUAGGUUAAUGAGGCGAACCGGGGGAACUGAAACAUCUAAGUACCCCGAGGAAAAGAAAUCAACCGAGAUUCCCCCAGUAGCGGCGAGCGAACGGGGAGGAGCCCAGAGCCUGAAUCAGCAUGUGUGUUAGUGGAAGCGUCUGGAAAGGCGCGCGAUACAGGGUGACAGCCCCGUACACAAAAGCGCAUGUGCUGUGAGCUCGAUGAGUAGGGCGGGACACGUGGUAUCCUGUCUGAAUAUGGGGGGACCAUCCUCCAAGGCUAAAUACUCCUGACUGACCGAUAGUGAACCAGUACCGUGAGGGAAAGGCGAAAAGAACCCCGGCGAGGGGAGUGAAAAAGAACCUGAAACCGUGUACGUACAAGCAGUGGGAGCACCCGUUUGGCGUGUGACUGCGUACCUUUUGUAUAAUGGGUCAGCGACUUAUAUUCUGUAGCAAGGUUAACCGAAUAGGGGAGCCGGAGGGAAACCGAGUCUUAACCGGGCGUUAAGUUGCAGGGUAUAGACCCGAAACCCGGUGAUCUAGCCAUGGGCAGGUUGAAGGUUGGGUAACACUAACUGGAGGACCGAACCGACUAAUGUUGAAAAAUUAGCGGAUGACCUGUGGCUGGGGGUGAAAGGCCAAUCAAACCGGGAGAUAGCUGGUUCUCCCCGAAAGCUAUUUAGGUAGCGCCUCGUGAAUUCAUCUCCGGGGGUAGAGCACUGUUUCGGCUAGGGGGCCAUCCCGGCUUACCAACCCGAUGCAAACUGCGAAUACCGGAGAAUGUUAUCACGGGAGACACACGGCGGGUGCUAACGUCCGUCGUGAAGAGGGAAACAACCCAGACCGCCAGCUAAGGUCCCAAAGUCAUGGUUAAGUGGGAAACGAUGUGGGAAGGCCCAGACAGCCAGGAUGUUGGCUUAGAAGCAGCCAUCAUUUAAAGAAAGCGUAAUAGCUCACUGGUCGAGUCGGCCUGCGCGGAAGAUGUAACGGGGCUAAAC